Myotis davidii is the source of this 75-nucleotide non-coding RNA. The record is from Rfam. Lineage: Eukaryota; Metazoa; Chordata; Mammalia; Chiroptera; Vespertilionidae.
CAGGGGGAGGGGGAAGUCUCUUAACUCAGAUUGCAAGAGGGUGCAGGCCAGGCUGAGGGACCCCACCGGUGCACA